RNAcentral lists this ribosomal RNA (601 nucleotides) under uncultured archaeon. RNAcentral describes it as "bacterial SSU rRNA". It matches the Rfam family "Archaeal small subunit ribosomal RNA", at positions 319 to 923 of the family's 1478-position model. The record is from RNAcentral.
UCCCUAUGGGGUGCAGCAGGCGCGAAACCUCCACAAUGCGCGAAAGCGUGAUGGGGUUACCCCGAGUGCCGUCCGAUGAGGAGGGCUUUUCCCCGGUGUAAGGAGCCGGGGGAAUAAAGGGGGGGCAAGACUGGUGUCAGCCGCCGCGGUAAUACCAGCUCCCUGAGUGGUAAGGACGAUUAUUUGGCUUAAAGCGUCCGUAGCCGGCUUAGUGAGUCUUUUGUUAAAUCCAAUGAUUCAAUCAUUGAACUGCAAGAGAUACUGCUAUGCUUGAGGACGGGAGAGGUCGACGGUAGUCCAGGGGUAGGGGUGAAAUCCUAUAAUCCUUGGAGGACCACCAGUGGCGAAGGCGGUCGACUAGAACGUGCCUGACGGUGAGGGACGAAAGCUGGGGGAGCGAACCGGAUUAGAUACCCGGGUAGUCCCAGCUGUAAACGAUGCAGGCUAGGUGUUUGGGCGGCCACGAGCCGCCCUAGUGCCGCAGGGAAGCUGUUAAGCCUGCCGCCUGGGGAGUACGGCCGCAAGGCUGAAACUUAAAGGAAUUGGCGGGGGAGCACCACAAGGGGUGAAGCUUGCGGUUUAAUUGGAUUCAACGCCGGAA